This 447-nucleotide ribosomal RNA is filed under the name uncultured bacterium. RNAcentral's name for it is "bacterial SSU rRNA". It matches the Rfam family "Bacterial small subunit ribosomal RNA", at positions 355 to 825 of the family's 1533-position model. The record is from RNAcentral.
UGGGGAAUAUUGGACAAUGGGCGCAAGCCUGAUCCAGCCAUGCCGCGUGAGUGACGAAGGUCUUCGGAUUGUAAAGCUCUUUUGGCGGGGACGAUAAUGACGGUACCCGCAGAAUAAGCCCCGGCUAACUUCGUGCCAGCAGCCGCGGUAAUACGAAGGGGGCUAGCGUUGUUCGGAAUUACUGGGCGUAAAGCGCACGUAGGCGGAUUUGUAAGUCAGGGGUGAAAUCCCGGGGCUCAACCUCGGAACUGCCUUUGAUACUGCAAGUCUCGAGUCCGAUAGAGGUGAGUGGAAUUCCUAGUGUAGAGGUGAAAUUCGUAGAUAUUAGGAAGAACACCAGUGGCGAAGGCGGCUCACUGGAUCGGUACUGACGGUGAGGGAUGAAAGCUGGGGGAGCAAACCGGAUUAGAUACCCAUGUAGUCCCUGAGCGGGCUGGCAAGGCGCAU